Molecule: ribosomal RNA, 465 nt
Filed under: uncultured bacterium
Lineage: Bacteria
Description: partial 16S ribosomal RNA
Rfam family: Bacterial small subunit ribosomal RNA
Source: RNAcentral
GAUGAACGCUGGCGGCGUGCUUAACACAUGCAAGUCGAACGGAAAGGCUCCUGCUUGCUGGGGUACUCGAGUGGCGAACGGGUGAGUAACACGUGGGUGAUCUGCCCUGCACUUCGGGAUAAGCCUGGGUAACUGGGUCUAAUACCGGAUAGGACUAUGUUUUGGAUGCCAUUGUUGAAAGUUUUUCGGUGUGGGUUGUGCUCGCUGCCUAUCAGCUUGUUUGUGGUGUAAUGGCAUGCGACCGCGUCGACGGGUAGCCGGACUGUGAGGGUGUACGGCCACAAUGGGACUGAGAUACGGCCCAGACUGCUACGGGAGGCAGCAGUGGGGAAUAUUGCACAAUGGGAGCAAGCGUGAUGAAGAGACGCAGCGUGGGGGAUGACGGCCUUCGGGUUGUAAACAAAAUUCGCUAGGGACGAAGCGAAAGUGACGGUACCUGGAGAAGAAGCACCGGCUAACUACGUG